This 253-nucleotide ribosomal RNA is filed under the name uncultured bacterium. RNAcentral describes it as "partial 16S ribosomal RNA". It matches the Rfam family "Bacterial small subunit ribosomal RNA", at positions 524 to 776 of the family's 1533-position model. The record is from RNAcentral.
UACAGAGGGGGCAAGCGUUGUUCGGAAUUACUGGGCGUAAAGGGCGCGUAGGCGGCCGCCUAAGUCAGACGUGAAAUCCCUCGGCUCAACCGGGGAACUGCGUCUGAUACUGGGUGGCUUGAAUCCGGGAGAGGGAUGCGGAAUUCCAGGUGUAGCGGUGAAAUGCGUAGAUAUCUGGAGGAACACCGGUGGCGAAGGCGGCAUCCUGGACCGGCAUUGACGCUGAGGAGCGAAAGCAUGGGGAGCGAACAGG